AUACGAAAGGUGCAAGCGUUGUUCGGAUUUACUGGGCGUAAAGAGAGUGUAGGUGGUUUAUUAAGUCGGAUGUGAAAUCCCGGGGCUCAACCUCGGAACUGCAUUCGAUACUGAUAGGCUCGAGUUUGGGAGGGGUAAGCGGAAUUCCGUGUAUAGCAGUGAAAUGCGUAGAUAUACGGAGGAACACCUGAGGCGAAGGCGGCUUACUGGACCAAUACUGACACUGAGACUCGAAAGCGUGGGUAGCAAACAGGAUUAGAAACCCUAGUAGUCC
RNAcentral lists this ribosomal RNA (274 nucleotides) under uncultured bacterium. RNAcentral's name for it is "partial 16S ribosomal RNA". It matches the Rfam family "Bacterial small subunit ribosomal RNA", at positions 523 to 796 of the family's 1533-position model. The record is from RNAcentral.